GAGUUUGAUCCUGGCUCAGAUUGAACGCUGGCGGCGUGCCUAACACAUGCAAGUCGAGCGGUAACAGGCGUAGCAAUACGUGCUGACGAGCGGCGAACGGGUGCGUAAUACAUGGGAAUCUGCCCUUUGGUGGGGAAUAACCCGGCGAAAGCCGGGCUAAUGCCGCAUGAGAUCCUCGGAUGAAAGCGGGGGACCGUAAGGCCUCGCGCCGAAGGAUGAGCCCAUGUCGGAUUAGCUAGUUGGUGGGGUAACGGCUCACCAAGGCGACGAUCCGUAGCUGGUCUGAGAGGACGGCCAGCCACACUGGGACUGAGACACGGCCCAGACUCCUACGGGAGGCAGCAGUGGGGAAUAUUGGACAAUGGGGGCAACCCUGAUCCAGCCAUGCCGCGUGAGUGAAGAAGGCCUUCGG
This 412-nucleotide ribosomal RNA is filed under the name uncultured Gammaproteobacteria bacterium. RNAcentral describes it as "bacterial SSU rRNA". It matches the Rfam family "Bacterial small subunit ribosomal RNA", at positions 9 to 421 of the family's 1533-position model. Lineage: Bacteria; Pseudomonadati; Pseudomonadota; Gammaproteobacteria. The record is from RNAcentral.